RNAcentral lists this ribosomal RNA (492 nucleotides) under uncultured bacterium. Its description in RNAcentral is "partial 16S ribosomal RNA". It matches the Rfam family "Bacterial small subunit ribosomal RNA", at positions 29 to 507 of the family's 1533-position model. The record is from RNAcentral.
AGUGAACGCUGGCGGUAGGCCUAACACAUGCAAGUCGAACGGCAGCACAGUAAGAGCUUGCUCUUACGGGUGGCGAGUGGCGGACGGGUGAGGAAUACAUCGGAAUCUACUUUUUCGUGGGGGAUAACGUAGGGAAACUUACGCUAAUACCGCAUACGACCUACGGGUGAAAGCAGGGGAUCUUCGGACCUUGCGCGAUUGAAUGAGCCGAUGUCGGAUUAGCUAGUUGGCGGGGUAAAGGCCCACCAAGGCGACGAUCCGUAGCUGGUCUGAGAGGAUGGUCAGCCACACUGGAACUGAGACACGGUCCAGACUCCUACGGGAGGCAGCAGUGGGGAAUAUUGGACAAUGGGCGCAAGCCUGAUCCAGCCAUACCGCGUGGGUGAAGAAGGCCUUCGGGUUGUAAAGCCCUUUUGUUGGGAAAGAAAAGCAGCAGGUUAAGACCCCGCUGUUCUGGCGGUACCCAAAGAAUAAGCACCGGCUAACUUCGUG